Molecule: ribosomal RNA, 721 nt
Filed under: Arthrobacter pascens
Lineage: Bacteria; Bacillati; Actinomycetota; Actinomycetes; Micrococcales; Micrococcaceae
Description: bacterial SSU rRNA
Rfam family: Bacterial small subunit ribosomal RNA
Source: RNAcentral
GAUUAAGUGGCGAACGGGUGAGUAACACGUGAGUAACCUGCCCUUAACUCUGGGAUAAGCCUGGGAAACUGGGUCUAAUACCGGAUAUGACUCCUCAUCGCAUGGUGGGGGGUGGAAAGCUUUUGGUGGUUUUGGAUGGACUCGCGGCCUAUCAGCUUGUUGGUGAGGUAAUGGCUCACCAAGGCGACGACGGGUAGCCGGCCUGAGAGGGUGACCGGCCACACUGGGACUGAGACACGGCCCAGACUCCUACGGGAGGCAGCAGUGGGGAAUAUUGCACAAUGGGCGCAAGCCUGAUGCAGCGACGCCGCGUGAGGGAUGACGGCCUUCGGGUUGUAAACCUCUUUCAGUAGGGAAGAAGCGAAAGUGACGGUACCUGCAGAAGAAGCGCCGGCUAACUACGUGCCAGCAGCCGCGGUAAUACGUAGGGCGCAAGCGUUAUCCGGAAUUAUUGGGCGUAAAGAGCUCGUAGGCGGUUUGUCGCGUCUGCCGUGAAAGUCCGGGGCUCAACUCCGGAUCUGCGGUGGGUACGGGCAGACUAGAGUGAUGUAGGGGAGACUGGAAUUCCUGGUGUAGCGGUGAAAUGCGCAGAUAUCAGGAGGAACACCGAUGGCGAAGGCAGGUCUCUGGGCAUUAACUGACGCUGAGGAGCGAAAGCAUGGGGAGCGAACAGGAUUAGAUACCCUGGUAGUCCAUGCCGUAAACGUUGGGCACUAGGUGU